This 433-nucleotide ribosomal RNA is filed under the name uncultured bacterium. RNAcentral describes it as "partial 16S ribosomal RNA". It matches the Rfam family "Bacterial small subunit ribosomal RNA", at positions 29 to 507 of the family's 1533-position model. The record is from RNAcentral.
AACGAACGCUGGCGGCAUGCCUAACACAUGCAAGUCGAACGAGACCUUCGGGUCUAGUGGCGCACGGGUGCGUAACGCGUGGGAACCUGCCCUUAGGUUCGGAAUAACUCCCCGAAAGGGGUGCUAAUACCGGAUAAUGUCUUCGGACCAAAGAUUUAUCGCCUUUGGAUGGGCCCGGGUUGGAUUAGCUAGUUGGUAGGGUAAAAGCCUACCAAGGCGACGAUCCAUAGCUGGUCUGAGAGGAUGAUCAGCCACACUGGGACUGAGACACGGCCCAGACUCCUACGCGAGGCAGCAGUGGGGAAUAUUGGACAAUGGGCGAAAGCCUGAUCCAGCAAUGCCGCGUGAGUGAUGAAGGCCUUAGGGUUGUAAAGCUCUUUUACCCGGGAUGAUAAUGACAGUACCGGGAGAAUAAGCUCCGGCUAACUCCGUG